GCUUGUCUCAAAGAUUAAGCCAUGCAUGUCUAAGUAUAGUACCUUAUACUGCGAAACUGCGAAUGGCUCAUUAAAUCAGUUAUAAUUCAUUUGAUGGUACUUACUACUCGGAUAACCGUAGUAAUUCUAGAGCUAAUACAUGCGCCCAGACCCAACUUUUAGGAAGGGUUGUAUUUAUUAGGUACAGAACCAAUGCAAGCUCCGCUUGACCUUUUGGUGAUUCAUGGUAACCGAACGAAUCGCACGGCACCAGCUGGCGAUGGACCAUUUCAGUUUCUGACCUAUCAGCUUCCGACGGUAGGAUAUGGGCCUACCGUGGCAAUGACGGGUAACGGAGAAUUAGGGUUCGAUUCCGGAGAGGGAGCCUGAGAAACGGCUACCACAUCUAAGGAAGGCAGCAGG
Molecule: ribosomal RNA, 402 nt
Filed under: uncultured Gymnodinium
Lineage: Eukaryota; Dinophyceae; Gymnodiniales
Description: partial small subunit ribosomal RNA
Rfam family: Eukaryotic small subunit ribosomal RNA
Source: RNAcentral